GUAAGCACAUCGCUGUUCUCCUGCCUCUGGCGCUUUGCUAAUUCCUCUUGACGAAUCCCAGAUCAGAUUCAGGAAAGACUCCACAUCUCGCUGUGAUCACAUCCUGUGAAGAUUUGAUGAUGUCUGCUUGCGUCGAUGGUGGCAAUUCCUCGUUGGGGGCCGAAGAAUUUGAGGUGUUCUUGAGUUUUAGAGGCUCCGACACCCGUCUCAACUUCACCGAUUGUCUCUAUCACUCUCUAAUUGGAGCUGGGAUUCAUGUUUUCAGAGAUAACGAAGAGCUCAGAAAGGGUGAAAAGAUUGGAGACGAGUUUUUGCGUGCCAUCCAAUCCUCCAAAAUAUAUGUGCCCAUCUUCUCUAGGAACUAUGCAUCCAGUUCAUGGUGUCUUCACGAGCUUAAGCACAUGGUGGACUCCUUAAACGAAGUAAAUGACAAAGUGAUCAUACCCAUUUUCUACGACGUGAAUACCUGAAGAUGUGAAACUCAAAACUCCAUUGUAUCUCGACGCUUUGGAGAGGCAGGUGGUGAAGUUUGGCCGCAAUGAUGUUCAGCAAUGGAAGGAGGCUCUGAUGGAAGUUGCAAGAAUCAAGGGAUGGCACUUGAAGGAUAAAGGCCACGGUGAAAUCAUCAACAAUUUCAUUAAUGAGGUUUUGACCAAGCUGAUGAAGAGGAGGAGAAAUCUGCCAGAUCAUAUAGUCGGGAUUCACGAUCAUGUGGAAGCUGUCAUGGACUUGUUAAACGAAGGUUCUCGUGAUGUUAAUUACCUAGUCAUCUAUGGAAUGGGGGGUAUUGGUAAGACAACUCUUGCAAGUACUGUCUUUAAUCAAAUUUCCAAUCAAUUUCAAGGCUAUAGCUUCCUCUUGGACAUUCGUGAGUCUGCACAACAUGGUAAAAUUAUUGACUUACAAAAAUAGAUGUUAUAAGAAAUUCUCCAAGCCAAAUCUCUAGAGAUCCAUUAUUCUGUUGAUGCACUGACUAACAUAAUUAGAGAAAGGUUUCAUGCUAAGAAAGUUCUCCUUGUUCUUGAUGACGUGGAUAAGUGGGACCAACUCUCUAAGCUAGCAGGAAAGAGUGAGUGGUUCGGUUCAGGAAGUAAAAUUAUCAUCACAACGAGGGACAUCAACUUUUUGCCAAUUAAAGAGGAGGAGGAAAAUAGUGCUUUCCAAGCAUAUUUUGAAGAGUUUAAAAUUUAUGAAAUGACAGAAAUGGAACAUUCCCAUGCUCUUCAACUCUUUAGUAAACAUGCCUUCAGGAUGGAUUUCCCACCACAUGAGUAUGUAGAUUUCUCAUGCAGAAUUACAUACAAAACAUGUGGACUUCCCUUAGCUCUUGAGGUUAUCGGUUCCUCACUUUAUCGAAAAAGUAAGAGCUUCUGGAAAGACACGUUGAAGAAAUUAGAUUUGAUGCCCAAGUAGGAAGUAUUCAAUAAGUUAAUGAUCAGUUAUGACAUAUUAGAGCAUCAUCAAAGAGAAAUCUUUCUUGAUAUCGCAUGUUACUUCAUUGGAGAACAAAGAAUCCACCCACACUAUAUGUGGAAAGCUUCCAAGUAUUUCCCAAAAAGUGAAUUACUUGUCCUUUCUCACAUGUCUUUGAUAAAGAUUGUAGAGAAUGAUAAAUUGUGGAUGCACGACCAACUUAGAGAUCUUGGAAGAGAAAUUGUCCGGCGCGAAGACAUUAAUAUUCCUAGGAAGCGUAGCAGAUUGUGGGAGUCUGAGAUUGCCUUGAACGUUGUUCGAGGAAAGAGGGGACAGAAAAUGUGGUCGCACUUAGACUCUCGGGACUCUCCAAAGUGCAUAAUUUCACAAGUAUGGAAUUUUCAAAACUGCCCAAUCUAAAAUUCUUGGAAUUAGAGGGUGGGAACUUGGUAGGGGACUUUAAGCAUCUUCUCUCCAAGUUAACAUGUCUCUCUUGGAGUUAUUGCCCUUCGAAAUUAAAAGCAAAGAAUUUAUGUCUCAAGAAAUUGGCUGUGCUCAUGCUCUCAAGAUGUGACAUUGCUUACGAUAAGGCUGGAUGGGGUCAUGCCUGGUACAACAACAUACCAUGCAAUUUACUUUUUCUGCCAUUUGUCUCACUAAUCAAACUUAUUUAUUUACCUUUCUUGAUUUGAUUGACUCUUACAUUGUUUUUCCAGAUGAGUGAAAACUUGAAAGUUAUGUAGAUCACUAAUUAUCCAAGCUUAAAAGGGACUCUUGACUUCUCGAAAUGCCAAAUUUGAAGAGAUUAGUUCUUCAAGAUUGUCAUAGCUCUAAUUUUAAAUCAGUGUCCUCAAAAAAUGAUUACAGCCUUUUUGCAGGGCUGCAAUCUAUUCAUCAUUCCAUUGGAGGGAUUACGUUUCAAACUCCAUUGGAAAUUUAAAAUCACUACUUGAAUUGAAAUUGGAUUG
Molecule: long non-coding RNA, 2381 nt
Organism: Eucalyptus grandis
Lineage: Eukaryota; Viridiplantae; Streptophyta; Magnoliopsida; Myrtales; Myrtaceae
Exons: 3
Source: RefSeq, a predicted model, not a curated record